GCUGCACAUUGUUAGAACUUGGAGAUGAGGUUGCUAGCUGGCCAAUGAACUCACAAGCAUAAGUAGUGUGCUACAUGAGGAACAAGACUUUCACUGACUCCACAGGGAUCUGUGGGCCAAAGAGUGGAGUUUGAUAGUAAUUCUUGCUACAAGU
Hyaena hyaena (striped hyena) is the source of this 154-nucleotide small nucleolar RNA. The record is from RefSeq and is a predicted model, not a curated record. Lineage: Eukaryota; Metazoa; Chordata; Mammalia; Carnivora; Hyaenidae.